CUCCCUGUCACCCCCUCCUUGCCCCCAUCUCCCUUUACCCAUCCUGGCCCUUGUGAGCCAUCAUGGGCCACAAUCAUCCUUCUACAAAGUGUGAGGCAGAACAAUGAACACAAACCAGAAUUCACUUAUGCAACAAGUCAGGAGAUGCUAAUGCACUUUUAGCCUCCUCCUUGGCAAUGGCCUUCAGAGAGACAAAAAGCUGAGUCCUGGCUCAGCAACAGGGUGGUGCCUCCAGCAGGUUACCUGCCUUCUGCGAGCCGUAGCUUCCUCAUUUUUAAAACAAGGGGGCUUGGAUAUUAUGGUCUCGGAGGUAUCCCCUGCUCUAAAACUGCUGAGCCUGAAGUACAUGCUUCGGAAUCCUCUCAGUCAUGUCUGACCCUGGCCCUCUGAGAGUGGAUUUUAUUUUUAGAAGCUGCCAAAAGCCACCUUGUGAUGCCAACUUUGGUGACUAAGGUGGGUGAUGGCGCCGAGAGAUGCCAUGUUUGGUCACAAAUGAGGGUGACUAGAGACCAGCAGGGCAGUUCCUCAUUCUGAGACCACACCCUAAGACAAGUCCAAAAAUAGAUCCCAUCUGUGUGACUGACUUGAUGGAAAACAACACUGAGGUCCUCUGUCCUCAUCAUUUCUCUCUGGACCUCAGUGUCCUAGUCUAUGAAAUGGAAGAGGGGAGGAGUUGAACCCUCAUCUAGACCUAGAAUGUCUUUCCCAAGUACUCAAGUGAGAAGUGUCUUUCUCUUUAAUAAAAUCCCUUCACAUAGGGAUUUCUUUCAUUCUUUAAGGGCCUCCCUGGCCCCCAAGACCCUUGAAAGUAAGCUCACUCCCUCUCAGGGCCGACUUCCCAGCAUCCCAUGGCGCUAUGUGCUGUUAUGGCCACCAGGUGGCAGUACAAUCCCGCUCUGAAUCUCCCUCAGCCUGCAUCAUCCUUUAGCAGCUUCACAAUUACCACCAGCCCUCCCUGGGGCAUACACCACAAGGGAUGCUGAAGACCAAAAUGAAUCAGACCCUGCCCCUGCUCUACAGCACGAGCUCCUGAAGCUCACGGAAGUGGUCACUCCUGAGGAUCCCUGCCCCUCCUCUCCCUUGCAUUGCCGGCCCUCAGUCCUGCAAUGCUGAGAUCUCCAAACUCCCCAGCAGGGCAUUCAGGACCCUCUGCAAUCAGGUCUCACCCCCAGGCCUACAGCCUGUUCUUCCAAACCAGAGCCACAGGGAUCUAAAUGAAAAGGAGACGAACACCCCCCUACACUUCCUGGCUGGGCAGCAGAGAGUGAUGCCAGAACCCUCCAAGUGUGUGCCAACCUCAAUGCCUUUCCAUAAGCUCUUCCCUCUGCCUGGAACACUUUUGUUGCUUCAGGAGUCAGCUCGAAUAUAACUUCUUCAGAGACCCAAGCCCCCAGUCUAAAUUAAACACUCCGUUAUCCCAGCAGCCUGUACCUUAUGUUCCUAGAAUGGAUCACGAUUGUAAUAAAAGCAUGAUUGGUGUAAGCA
This is a non-coding RNA of Callorhinus ursinus (northern fur seal), 1485 nucleotides long. NCBI's taxonomy places the organism in Eukaryota, Metazoa, Chordata, Mammalia, Carnivora, Otariidae. The record is from RefSeq and is a predicted model, not a curated record.